UACGAAGGGGGCUAGCGUUGUUCGGAAUUACUGGGCGUAAAGCGCACGUAGGCGGACGUUUAAGUCAGGGGUGAAAUCCCAGAGCUCAACUCUGGAACUGCCUUUGAUACUGGAUGUCUUGAGUAUGGAAGAGGUAAGUGGAAUUGCGAGUGUAGAGGUGAAAUUCGUAGAUAUUCGCAGGAACACCAGUGGCGAAGGCGGCUUACUGGUCCAUUACUGACGCUGAGGUGCGAAAGCGUGGGGAG
RNAcentral lists this ribosomal RNA (245 nucleotides) under uncultured Neorhizobium sp. Its description in RNAcentral is "partial 16S ribosomal RNA". It matches the Rfam family "Bacterial small subunit ribosomal RNA", at positions 524 to 768 of the family's 1533-position model. The record is from RNAcentral. Lineage: Bacteria; Pseudomonadati; Pseudomonadota; Alphaproteobacteria; Hyphomicrobiales; Rhizobiaceae.